CCUACGGGAGGCAGCAGUGGGGAAUAUUGCGCAAUGGGCGAAAGCCUGACGCAGCGACGCCGCGUGAGGGAUGAAGGUCCUCGGAUCGGUAACCUCUUUCUGCAGGGAAGUACGGUCACUGUGCUAAUCAGCAGUGAAUUGAUGGUACCUGCAAAGGAAGCAUCGGCUAACUCCGUGCCCGCAGCCGCGGUAAUACGGAGGGUGCGUGCGUUAAUCGGAAUUAUUGGGCGUAAACCGAUCGUAGGCGGGAUGUCAAGGCAAGUGUGAAAUCCCCGGGCUCAACGUUGGAAGUGCAGUUGAAACUGGCAAACUGGAGUGUGGGAGAGGAGAGUGGAAUUCGAGGUGUAGGAGUGAAAUGCGUAGAUAUCUGGAGGAACAUCAGUGGCGAAGGCGGCUAUCUGGCACAUAACUGACGCUGAGGAGCGAAAGCGUGGGUAGCAAACAGGAUUAGAUACCCUAGUAGUC
This 465-nucleotide ribosomal RNA is filed under the name uncultured bacterium. RNAcentral's name for it is "partial 16S ribosomal RNA". It matches the Rfam family "Bacterial small subunit ribosomal RNA", at positions 338 to 795 of the family's 1533-position model. The record is from RNAcentral.